UGCAAGUCGAGCGGACAGAUGGGAGCUUGCUCCCUGAUGUNAGCGGCGGACGGGUGAGUAACACGUGGGUAACCUGCCUGUAAGACUGGGAUAACUCCGGGAAACCGGGGCUAAUACCGGAUGCUUGAUUGAACCGCAUGGUUCAAUUAUAAAAGGUGGCUUUUAGCUACCACUUACAGAUGGACCCGCGGCGCAUUAGCUAGUUGGUGAGGUAACGGCUCACCAAGGCAACGAUGCGUAGCCGACCUGAGAGGGUGAUCGGCCACACUGGGACUGAGACACGGCCCAGACUCCUACGGGAGGCAGCAGUAGGGAAUCUUCCGCAAUGGACGAAAGUCUGACGGAGCAACGCCGCGUGAGUGAUGAAGGUUUUCGGAUCGUAAAACUCUGUUGUUAGGGAAGAACAAGUACCGUUCGAAUAGGGCGGUACCUUGACGGUACCUAACCAGAAAGCCACGGCUAACUACGUGCCAGCAGCCGCGGUAAUACGUAGGUGGCAAGCGUUGUCCGGAAUUAUUGGGCGUAAAGCGCGCGCAGGCGGUUUCUUAAGUCUGAUGUGAAAGCCCCCGGCUCAACCGGGGAGGGUCAUUGGAAACUGGGGAACUUGAGUGCAGAAAAGGAGAGUGGAAUUCCACGUGUAGCGGUGAAAUGCGUAGAGAUGUGGAGGAACACCAGUGGCGAAGGCGACUCUCUGGUCUGUAACUGACGCUGAGGCGCGAAAGCGUGGGGAGCGAACAGGAUUAGAUACCCUGGUAGUCCACGCCGUAAACGAUGAGUGCUAAGUGUUAGAGGGUUUCCGCCCUUUAGUGCUGCAGCAAACGCAUUAAGCACUCCGCCUGGGGAGUACGGUCGCAAGACUGAAACUCAAAGGAAUUGACGGGGGCCCGCACAAGCGGUGGAGCAUGUGGUUUAAUUC
RNAcentral lists this ribosomal RNA (916 nucleotides) under Bacillus haynesii. RNAcentral describes it as "bacterial SSU rRNA". It matches the Rfam family "Bacterial small subunit ribosomal RNA", at positions 56 to 952 of the family's 1533-position model. Lineage: Bacteria; Bacillati; Bacillota; Bacilli; Caryophanales; Bacillaceae. The record is from RNAcentral.